GUGUAGUUGUCCCGGAGCUGCUCUGUCCUGCUGCCCAGCCUGGGUGUAGGUGUAAAAGGCCGAGUCCUAGGCCCCUGUAAUUUGAAAUUUGUCAUGUAGGGCGUAGUUGGAGUCUAGAGGAUGUUCCUCGAUGGACACAAGAUGUCAGGAGCUGUGAAGUUACCCUGCAGCACUUUGACUUUUGUCUCAGCUUUCUUUCAGAUGCACACGGAUGAAAUCAGUGGCAGAGCGCCCCAUCCAGGGUAAGGGGGUUCCCCUGAGAAGGAAGUGAAGCCGGCUAUCAGCAGUCAAGGCAAAGCGGGCAAGGCGGUCCAGUCGCGUUUCGCUGAGACGUCCUCGCCAACCGGCUGGCACAGCUGCUUUACCACUCCUGUGAGCCCUGCGGAAGCAUUAUGGGACCGUGUGACGGAGCCUUUUCCAC
Molecule: long non-coding RNA, 421 nt
Organism: Poecile atricapillus (Black-capped chickadee)
Lineage: Eukaryota; Metazoa; Chordata; Aves; Passeriformes; Paridae
Exons: 3
Source: RefSeq, a predicted model, not a curated record